UGUUUCGGCAAGGGGGUCAUCCCGACUUACCAACCCGAUGCAAACUGCGAAUACCGGAGAAUGUUAUCACGGGAGACACACGGCGGGUGCUAACGUCCGUCGUGAAGAGGGAAACAACCCAGACCGCCAGCUAAGGUCCCAAAGUCAUGGUUAAGUGGGAAACGAUGUGGGAAGGCCCAGACAGCCAGGAUGUUGGCUUAGAAGCAGCCAUCAUUUAAAGAAAGCGUAAUAGCUCACUGGUCGAGUCGGCCUGCGCGGAAGAUGUAACGGGGCUAAACCAUGCACCGAAGCUGCGGCAGCGACACUAUG
RNAcentral lists this ribosomal RNA (309 nucleotides) under Escherichia coli. RNAcentral's name for it is "partial 23S ribosomal RNA". It matches the Rfam family "Bacterial large subunit ribosomal RNA", at positions 911 to 1218 of the family's 2925-position model. The record is from RNAcentral. Lineage: Bacteria; Pseudomonadati; Pseudomonadota; Gammaproteobacteria; Enterobacterales; Enterobacteriaceae.